This 940-nucleotide long non-coding RNA is filed under the name Citrus maxima (pomelo). RNAcentral describes it as "long non-coding RNA (CMAX_LNC000409)". Lineage: Eukaryota; Viridiplantae; Streptophyta; Magnoliopsida; Sapindales; Rutaceae. The record is from RNAcentral.
UCUUUUAACAAUCAUUAACUAUUCAAGAUUGCUUUAAAAUAAGUAUAAUUUGACUAUUGUGCCCUUAUAAUAUAAAAUAACCAAAUUACAUGAUGAAGUCACAGAUAUGAGCCCCAAAAAAAGCCCAUAAAUGUUGGGUCUGGUUAAGGGCCUUUGCAGAAAAUAUAUAAAUUAAAAAAAAUUCAAAUUGAAAAGAAAAAAUAAAAGAAAACACAAAAUAACAAAAUCAAAAUAGCUGAUCCCUAAAGCUAAAAGCAUCCUCACUCCCUGACGCCCACGAGCCGCGCAACAAUUGCAGUCAUCAUCGUCUAAGUUUUAGAUUAUUGGAGAUUUGUCUAAUCGGAAUACUGAAUUUCCAACUCUAUACUCGCCGCCAAUAGCACAAAUUUCUUCAUAAUUUGCAUUUCUUCUAAAAAUAAAAAGAAAAAAGAAACAUCUCUAAAAUUAAAUGUUGUGCAGUGUGCACUUCCCACACAUCUCUCAAGCAGCCAUCACCCCACCGAUCAAAACUAGCCCGGCAGCAGCACCCACACGACCAAUCAUCACCGGAUCCAGCAGCAGCCACCAACUAACCCGGCCAGCACAACGCCACGAUUCACGAAGCCACCGCAGCAGCAGCAGCAGCCAACAUUGAACCCAGCCACUCGAAGCCGUGCGAAUCAGCACCAACCACUCGAACCCACUAAGUGUAGAUCAUCGCCUGAAGUUUUUCAGCCGAACAUUGGUCCAUGGAUAUCAAACUUUUGCAUUUUAUGACGGUUAUUAAAGAAUCCAAUGAAAUCAACCUCGAAAAGGGCUGAAGUGUAUUCAUCUUUUGUUUAGUUGAGACGUUUUUGCAUUUUUUUAUUAAAAUUUAUUUUUAAAAAAUUUGAGGAAGCCAGGCCCGGCUCAAGCCCGGUCCACCUAAUUUUGGAUGAGUUUUUAAAGUGCCUGGACUUAU